This 28-nucleotide non-coding RNA is filed under the name Rattus norvegicus (Norway rat). Lineage: Eukaryota; Metazoa; Chordata; Mammalia; Rodentia; Muridae. The record is from RNAcentral.
AAGUGCCAGUCAGUAUUGUCAGAUGGUC